RNAcentral lists this ribosomal RNA (497 nucleotides) under uncultured bacterium. RNAcentral describes it as "partial 16S ribosomal RNA". It matches the Rfam family "Bacterial small subunit ribosomal RNA", at positions 28 to 507 of the family's 1533-position model. The record is from RNAcentral.
GAUGAACGCUGGCGGCGUGCCUAAUACAUGCAAGUCGAGCGAACGGACGAGAAGCUUGCUUCUCUGCUGUUAGCGGCGGACGGGUGAGUAACACGUGGAUCACCUACCUAUAAUACUGGGAUAACUUCGGGAAGCCGGAGCUAAUACCGGAUGAUAUUUUGAACCGCAUGGUUCAAAAGAGAAAGACGGUCUUGCUGUCACUUAUAGAUGGUUCCGUGCUGCAUUAGCUAGUUGGUAAGGUAACGGCUUACCAAGGCAACGAUGCGUAGCCGACCUGAGAGGGUGAUCGGCCACACUGGAACUGAGACACGGUCCAGACUCCUACGGGAGGCAGCAGUAGGGAAUAUUACGCAAUGGGCGAAAGCCUGACGGAGCCAUGCCGCGUGAGUGAUGAAGGUCUUCGGAUCGUAAAACCCUGUUAUUGGGGAAGAACAGAUGUGGAAUUAACUGUGGACAUCUUGACGGUACCUAAUCAGAAAGCAACGGCUAACUACGUG